GCUUGUCCACGUACUGGAGGAUUUACCUCAAUUUACUGUUAACUGAGCAGCAAUGCUGCAACUGUGGAGUGUUGGGCUGGGUGGGUUGAGCUAUCCCCACAUGGAGUGUAUGGCUGGUACGGGUGGAGUGUAGUGGUUGGUGGGUUGAGUAGUCUCCCCAAAUGGGCUUGCAUAUGUUAUUGAUGUUGCAUGUAUUUUGAAAUGGGCCUAUGGGCCAUAUUGUUAUCUGAAUAAGGGGCGAAGGCCCAGUUUAUUGUAAUCUGAAAAGGGCUCUGGUCCAGUACCACUGUUACCUGAAUGGGCUUAGGCCCAAUAGGCUUGAGCUGACUUGGGCUUUGAA
RNAcentral lists this long non-coding RNA (340 nucleotides) under Gossypium barbadense (sea-island cotton). Its description in RNAcentral is "long non-coding RNA (GBAR_LNC000231)". The record is from RNAcentral. Lineage: Eukaryota; Viridiplantae; Streptophyta; Magnoliopsida; Malvales; Malvaceae.